UACGGAGGGUGCGAGCGUUAUCCGGAAUUACUGGGCUUAAAGGGUGCGUAGGCGGCUAUGUAAGUCAGGUGUGAAAGCUUGCGGCUCAACCGUAAAAUUGCUUUUGAUACUGCAUGGCUGGAAUCAGGAUGAGGUCAGUGGAAUGUGGCAUGUAGCAGUGAAAUGCAUAGAUAUGCCAUAGAACACCAAUUGCGAAGACAGCUCCCUAGACCUGUAUUGACACUCAUGCACGAAAUCUUCGAUAGCAAACAGC
Molecule: ribosomal RNA, 253 nt
Filed under: uncultured bacterium
Lineage: Bacteria
Description: partial 16S ribosomal RNA
Rfam family: Bacterial small subunit ribosomal RNA
Source: RNAcentral